This is a non-coding RNA of Perca fluviatilis (European perch), 566 nucleotides long. NCBI's taxonomy places the organism in Eukaryota, Metazoa, Chordata, Actinopteri, Perciformes, Percidae. The record is from the annotation of a RefSeq genome assembly.
CUCAAUGACUUUGUAUCACUGUGGAACACGUUCGGUGGAGGAACCAGACUGAAUGUUGGAAGUGAUGUCCGUCCCACCCUGACGGUGCUGCCCCCCUCCAGUGAGGAGUUGCUGAAGGGGGAGGCCACGCUCAUGUGUCUGGCCAACAAGGGCUUCCCCUCAGACUGGAGUCUGGCCUGGAAGAUGGACGGCAGCAGCAUCAGCAGCAGCUGGGAGGAGAGCAGGAGCCCGGGGGUGCUGGAGAAUGAUGGCCACUACAGCUGGACCAGCACCCUGAGGCUCCCUGCAGACCAAUGGAGGAAGGUGGGCUCUGUGACCUGUGAGGCCACCCAGGGCUCCCAGAUUCCGCUCUCAGAGACACUGAGGAGAGACCAGUGUUCCUAGUCCUGACCUGACUCACUGGAACUCUGCUACUGGUUUCACUCUGAAAGUCUCAGUCUGUGCUCUGCAAUUAUCUCUGUUUUUAAUUAAUUUGAUAUCUUUCAAUAGCGAUAUUUACCAGCUUGUUGCAAUAUUUCUAUAUUAUUUCAGUGUUUAAAGACAAUAAAGAUGUGUUCAUCAAAUCA